CCUACGGGAGGCAGCAGUGGGGAAUAUUGCACAAUGGGGGAAACCCUGAUGCAGCGACGCCGCGUGAAGGAAGAAGUAUUUCGGGAUGUAAACUUCUAUCAGCAGGGAAGAAAAUGACGGUACCUGACUAAGAAGCCCCGGCUAACUACGUGCCAGCAGCCGCGGUAAUACGUAGGGGGCAAGCGUUAUCCGGAUUUACUGGGUGUAAAGGGAGCGUAGACGGCAGUGCAAGUCCGGAGUGAAAGCCCGGGGCUCAACCCUGGGACUG
Molecule: ribosomal RNA, 268 nt
Filed under: uncultured bacterium
Lineage: Bacteria
Description: partial 16S ribosomal RNA
Rfam family: Bacterial small subunit ribosomal RNA
Source: RNAcentral